GGUGUUAAAAAUAUUCUUUUCUUUUUUUUUUUGUUUGUUUUGUUUCAUUUCUAGUGAUCUGAUUAAUCAGGGGGAACUCAGAAGUUUUCACCACCUGGAGCUUUCCCAUGGACAGAGGAGCCUAGCAAGCUACAGCCCAUGGGGUUGAAGAGUCACGACUGAGUGACUACACAACAGCUUUCAUGAAGGCUUCAUGUGUGGCUCUCCCAGGAGCUCUGACAGCCUACAGGAAAAGGUAGGGAUGCUUGUAAGUAUCUAGGGUUGUGGUGAGAGGUAGCGGAAGGAUGGCUGGAAACAGCCACAUUCUACCUCGCACCCAGCCUCCCCGCCAUCCUCUCCACACCCAGCCUUUCCCCCCAAGUUAGAAGCAGAUAGCUGGAGUUAUCCAACUAUCUUUCUAGCCACAUCCUCAGGAAAGGGAUAAAGGAAAACAGAGUGUCACCAAGGGCCCACCCCAGGGCAGGAUCCUGAGAAUGGCUUGAGGGACUGCCUAAUCCCAUGUAUCAUCCUUCAGUAAAGUGCUACACUUUGGGGUUAUUUUGCCUCUCUUCUAAAGUCAGGGAACAAAUAAUCAGAUGACUCAAAAAAAAAGAGUUUCCUUUUUUGGUUUUAUUUGGGGCUUUUUUUGUUUUGUUUUUAGACCAACUUACUAAAUGGGUGGGGGACUAAAACAAACGGAAAAUAAGCCACAGAUGAACCGCCCACCCUGGGCUGGGCAACAUCCGUAAGAGAAAACUGUGGCCUGGGACUUUGAAGGGUGGCUGCUGAGCACACGUGUCCCUUCUCCCUAGCCACCCACCCCCAUCUCGGAGGCCAACCCUUCUGCGUGGUGGCUAGCAGUGACAAAACCAAGAUGAAUCACCAUAUGUCAGGAUCCAUAAAUUGUGAAAAGUCUAAGCAGCAGGUCUGGGAUGAGAGAUCAAGGCCAAAGGGGAUCGUGCAACAGAAGAAAAGCCGUCCAGAGAUACGAGGGGCCAGCCCACGGCUCCAGCUAUCGAAGUAUGCUCCCCCCCCAGCCCCCACCAAGUCUAAAACAAACACAGGAACGCAUUCCAUACAUUUCCAAAGACUAGAGAGCGCACACAGAAAUCCUGGCCUUUGUGCCUUCUCCCUUAAACCCCACGAGUUUGGGGCCUCAAGUUUGAAGCCGGCUUCCUGCCUCCCUGGGGUUUUUUGAAAGAUUCAAAAGUGCCUCAGACCAAGACAGCUGCUUGGUUGAUGGCUCACAUUGAAACCACAAAUUAUAAAAUGAUAAAUCGCUGCUCAAAGCUCUUCCAGGAAAGACUAUGUUGUCAAGAUUAAGUUACAACCUCAUGGACCUAUGAGUGAGUCGAGCUGCUGACUAACUCUCACACUUCUUUUCCUGCCCAAGAUGUUUUUGCUUCGUGAACUUUCACUGUUUCUGAAUACUUGAAACAAAUGACUGAAGGCAGAAAAAACAUCAGGGGACUUCUUAACCCAUGGAGCUUUUUACAGGCUUUAUUAUGUAACGGCUGCUUUCGUUUUGUGAGACCCAAAGGAAGUUGAAGAAAUCUCUUUCUUCUUGAGCACUUAACUGCCAGCGAUCUGUGAGAAAUGGCUUCGUGUGGGCAGCUCCACUCACUUGAAACUCUAGUUGGAACGUGUAGUGUGUGCUAAAUCAAAGCUGGUUUUAAGGAAUUUGGGUC
Molecule: long non-coding RNA, 1667 nt
Organism: Bos mutus (wild yak)
Lineage: Eukaryota; Metazoa; Chordata; Mammalia; Artiodactyla; Bovidae
Source: Ensembl